This 76-nucleotide transfer RNA is filed under the name Gallaecimonas xiamenensis 3-C-1. RNAcentral's name for it is "tRNA-Arg". It matches the Rfam family "tRNA". Rfam says of the family: Transfer RNA (tRNA) molecules are approximately 80 nucleotides in length. Their secondary structure includes four short double-helical elements and three loops (D, anti-codon, and T loops). Further hydrogen bonds mediate the characteristic L-shaped molecular structure. tRNAs have two regions of fundamental functional importance: the anti-codon, which is responsible for specific mRNA codon recognition, and the 3' end, to which the tRNAs corresponding amino acid is attached (by aminoacyl-tRNA synthetases). tRNAs cope with the degeneracy of the genetic code in two manners: having more than one tRNA (with a specific anti-codon) for a particular amino acid; and 'wobble' base-pairing, i.e. permitting non-standard base-pairing at the 3rd anti-codon position. RNAcentral also lists the same sequence under 1 other name. The record is from RNAcentral. Lineage: Bacteria; Pseudomonadati; Pseudomonadota; Gammaproteobacteria; Enterobacterales; Gallaecimonadaceae.
GUCUCCAUAGCUCAACAGGAUAGAGCACCCGCCUCCUAAGCGGGCGAUCCAGGUUCGAGUCCUGGUGGGGACGCCA